RNAcentral lists this transfer RNA (90 nucleotides) under Nitrospiraceae bacterium. RNAcentral's name for it is "tRNA-Ser". The record is from RNAcentral. Lineage: Bacteria; Pseudomonadati; Nitrospirota; Nitrospiria; Nitrospirales; Nitrospiraceae.
GGGGUGUGGGAAAUAAGGCGUUUUUUUUGCCUGCUAAGCGGAUGUGGGGCUAAAACCCCACCCAGGGUUCGAAUCCCUGCCUCUCCGCCA